GUUUAGAACUGUGUGCAUUUGUUUUGGAAGAAUUUGGGCUGUUUAGGCUAAAAUCCAUUAUGAUUGGACAGAAUAUGAACACACACAUCCAAUACUUCAAAGAUAUUAUGUUUGUGGAGGCAGAGAUUUUGAUUGCAUCCACUGUUUAGAAUACAUCCUUAAGGGAAGCAGACUGCCGCCUUUACCCAAUGAUAUAAUGAUUAAUCAUAACUAUAUCUGUUUUGUACCAAAUAGAAAGAGCAUUGAUUCAGGUCAUUUUCAAAUCCACUGGCAUACAUUGUACUAUACAUGCAACCUUUUCAAACUUUACAUUUAAGAUUUUAUAAAGGAAAUAUCUUAAUGUUUCACAUGUUUACCUUUCACUGUGCUAUGUAAUUCAUUAUACCUGCCAUUAUGCCAGUCUUCCUGAACAUAAUUUGUUUUCUGCAAUUUCAUUGGCCAAGAGGCUUAAUCCUGGGUUAUCAGAUUGAGCAUUUAUAUUUAGUAUCCCAUUGAUUUUGUCAGCCCUAUAUAAGGAGCUGACUCAGAUUUACUCACUCUGCUAGGUUAAAGAACUCUAAGGUUUGUACUUUUCACAUGAAUUUCGUGUUCGCCUCUUAUCUUUUACAUAGAGUAGGAAAUGAACAUAACAUUGAGUUAGGGAACUAUUUAGAUUUUACAUUAUAAUAUGUAAAUACCUUAGCAGAGUCAAUUUACUUGGUUCAGGGUAGUAUCAGAUAUUACUUUUUCAGAGUUUAAGUGUUUAGGCUAUCUCAAUGUUUCUAUAGUUAGCCUUGUCCUAUGCUACUUUUAGAUGUAUGGAAGCCUUUUAGUGUUAUAACACUAUAUUUAUGCCCCCAUUCAAAGAAGAGGGACAUAUUGGUUUGCACCUGUUGGUCGGUCGGUAGACCACAUGUUGUCCGCUUAAUAUCUUAAGAACCAUUCACUUGAUCGUAAUAUAUUUCAUAUGUGGGUUGGUUAUGAAAAGAAGAGGACCCCAAUUGUUUUUCAGGUCGAAAUGUCAAGGGUCAAUCUACUCUGGACAUAGGAAGACACUGCCUGCUCAAUAUCUUGAGAACCCUUUGCUUGACAGACAUCAAACUUGGUACACUGGUACAUCUCAAGGAGUAGAUUUAAGGUCAUAUGGUCAAAGGUCAAGGGGUAAACUGGACAUAGUAAUAUAUUGUCUCUUAUGUUUUAAGAAUUAUUUGCUUGAUUGACACCAAACCUGGUACAGCAUAAGGAGUAGAUGACCCCUAUUGAUUUUUAGGUCACUUGGUCAAUCCACUCCUGACAUAGGAAGAUAUUGUUUGCUCAAUAUUUCGAAUUGAUGAUACUACUAUCAAUCAAAUUAUGCAUAUGUAUAACCCUUUUCAAUUUUGCACCAUGGGGGCUUAUAUGUAAUUGUUUUACAAACACCUCAUGUUUUAUAGUUUGUGAAAGCUUGUUAGGGUCAUAACUUUAGAUUUUCUUAUUAUGGUACUUGCCCGUCAGAGACUGGACAUAUUAUGGUAUGGUGUUGUCUGUCCGGACCUUGUAAGAUAGGAUACAGACUGAACCGUAAGCUCUAGAAUCUUACAACUUGGUACAUUUGAUCACCAUAAAAGGAAGAUGCUUAUUGUUUUUUAAGGUCAAGGUUGUAGGUUCACUUAAUAGGAAAACCUUGUUCGAGAAAAUUACAGAUUCUUGAACUGAGUAUUUUGAGGAAACAUUACAUAGAAAGUACAUGAUUUGUCAAAUUUCUCCCAAUAUUCAACUGAGAACCUUAUUCUGCAGAGUAUUUGUAUGGGUAUGGAAAAUGUGUAUGUGGCUAUGAUUUUGAUUUUUGUUAAAAAAUUUGUUGUUGAAAAUUACAGGUUUAACCGAGUCAGUUUUUGAGGAAAUAUACAUGUAUUAAAUAAAUGACGGUUUGACCUUUUAACUCCUCUCACAGUUUUGAAGCUAGGGUCUUUGUAAAUAACUUCUUUGGUGUUUUAGAAUAUUUACAGAUUGUUGAUCAUGGUCAAUUUUGGGGAAAUAUUUUCCGCAGAGCUCUAGUUGUCUAUCUACCGGCCUCCUGUCACUUUUAAGUUUAGGAGCUUUUAUUCAUGGAAAGAAAGUAUGUGACAACCUGAUGAUGGCUGAUACUAUUUAAAGCCUUUUUAUACGCCCGUCUUAAGAUGGGACGUAUUAUGGUAUGGCGUUCAUGUCCGUCCGUCUGUUAGCUUUUUCGUGUCCGACCCGUAACUUAAAUACUACAAGGCCUAGAAUCAUCAAACUUUGUCUGUAGAUACAUCUUGGGUAGAAGGUGUGUCGCACAUUAAAACCAAGUAACUGUGACUUUUCAUUAGGAAGAUAUGGCCAUAUAUGGCAAAAACUUGUCCGACUCAUAACUUGAAAACUAUUAGACCUAGAAUCACCAAAAUUGGUCAACUAAUGCAUCUUAGGUAGAAGGUGUGUCGCAUCCUACUUUAAGGUCACUGUGACAUUUAAUUAAGGUGAUAUAAAAAAAAUGUUUUAAUGGGUACAAUCUAUACUGUUAACAAUAUGUGACGGGCAUAUCAUGUGCCAUGGCGGUGCACUUUAUUCUAGAAAUGGCAUCAGAAAAACACCCUAUGUAACCUUUUCUGCUUGUACUCAUUUAUUUUUAUUGGAAAACUUAUUACUUGUUAUCAGCUACUCUAAAACAAUAUUGACUUGUGCUAUAAUAAAUUUGUAAACUUUACAA
Molecule: long non-coding RNA, 2686 nt
Organism: Ostrea edulis (European flat oyster)
Lineage: Eukaryota; Metazoa; Mollusca; Bivalvia; Ostreida; Ostreidae
Exons: 2
Source: RefSeq, a predicted model, not a curated record